This 403-nucleotide ribosomal RNA is filed under the name uncultured Actinomycetes bacterium. RNAcentral describes it as "bacterial SSU rRNA". It matches the Rfam family "Bacterial small subunit ribosomal RNA", at positions 355 to 774 of the family's 1533-position model. The record is from RNAcentral. Lineage: Bacteria; Bacillati; Actinomycetota; Actinomycetes.
UGGGGAAUCUUGCGCAAUGGGCGAAAGCCUGACGCAGCAACGCCGCGUGGGGGAUGAAGGCUUUCGGGUUGUAAACCCCUUUCAGCAGGGACGAAUCAAGACGGUACCUGCAGAAGAAGCCCCGGCUAACUACGUGCCAGCAGCCGCGGUAACACGUAGGGGGCAAGCGUUGUCCGGAUUUAUUGGGCGUAAAGAGCUCGUAGGCGGCUCGAUAAGUCGGGUGUCAAAUCCUCAGGCUCAACCUGGGGCACCACCCGAUACUGUCGUGGCUAGAGUCCGGUAGGGGAGCGUGGAAUUCCUGGUGUAGCGGUGAAAUGCGCAGAUAUCAGGAGGAACACCAGCGGCGAAGGCGGCGCUCUGGGCCGGAACUGACGCUGAGGAGCGAAAGCGUGGGUAGCAAACA